GUUCGGGCCGGCGGGAAAUGUAUCGUUAGGGAGCGUCCGUCAGCCCGGGCGCGCGCGGCGAGCCCAAGUCUCCCUUGAACGGUGCCACAAUCCAUAGAGGGUGCCAGGCCCGUACGGCCGCCGCCGCGCUCGAGUGGGCGUCUCCUAGGAGUCGGUCUGCUUGAGAACGCAGACCUAAGUGGGUGGUAAACUCCAUCUAAGGCUAAAUAUGACCACGAGACCGAUAGCGCACAAGUACCGUGAGGGAAAGGUGAAAAGAACUUUGAARAGAGAGUUCAAGAGUACGUGAAACUGGAGAGGUGAAAACGGAAGUGGCUCGAUAUUCCGAACGGUGGUGUUCAGUCUCACCGUCGUCGGCGCCCGCGCCCGGGAGACUCAAGGGUCCCGCGGUCCGGCGCGUCCCGGCCCCUCUGGGGUCGGGCGCGUCGCCCGGUCCCCUCCCGUCGGCGUCGGGUCCUAAUUGUCCGACGCGGUGUGGAUGCACUCGCUGCCGUAGUAGGAUGUCGCGACUCGUCGGGUGUCGGUCGCGAGGCCGGCGGAGAUUCAAGCCCGGUGUCCGUGAGACGCGCUCCCCUGGGGAGAAAUGCGCGCAGUGCGGCCCGGACUCCUGCCGUGUCCUUCUCCGACUGCCCGACGGUAUCGAAAGCACGUCGGCCGCAGCGGCCCGCUGUCACGGCCCGGUCCCCGCCCUCAGUGGCGAACCGGGCAGGCGGUGCCCCGCGACCGUGUGGGCCCUGGCGCCCCGCGGAAGCCGGCCGACUGUCUGCGGCAUUGCCUGAUUCGGGUCCACUUCCGACCCGUCUUGAAACACGGACCAAGGAGCGUAACACGUGCGCGAGUCGAAGGGUGCUACUAAACCUGGAGGCGAAGCGAAAGCGUAAGGGGCGAUGGCUCGAGUGUGUGUGCGGCGUGUUUCCCUCGGGAUCUCGUCCGCCUCCUCUCUCAGGUCGAGCUCUCCGGUUCGCCAACCCUCUCUUUAGCUCACUUGUGGGCGGGGGAGGGCCACUGGCCUCCGGAUCCGGCCGGCCCGCAGCCCCGGGGCACCUCAUACGGCUCUGCCGCUUCUACCAGACCUCAGAUUCAUGGGUUCGCUCGCGUUCUCGUCCGUUUGGCUUUCGGGCCUUCGGGCGGGGCCGGGCGGGCUCCUGGGGCCGGGGCGGCUGAGUCGAGGCGCACCUGAGAGCGUACGUGUUGUUACCCGAAAGAUGGUGAACUAUGCCUGGCCAGGACGAAGCCAGGGGAAACCCUGGUGGAAGUCCGUAGCGAUUCUGACGUGCAAAUCGAUCGUCGGAGCUGG
RNAcentral lists this ribosomal RNA (1297 nucleotides) under Macrothrips papuensis. Its description in RNAcentral is "partial 28S ribosomal RNA". It matches the Rfam family "Eukaryotic large subunit ribosomal RNA", at positions 127 to 914 of the family's 3401-position model. Lineage: Eukaryota; Metazoa; Arthropoda; Insecta; Thysanoptera; Phlaeothripidae. The record is from RNAcentral.